AGAGCGAACGCUGGCGGCAGGCCUAACACAUGCAAGUUGAGCGCCCGUAGCAAUACGGGAGCGGCAGACGGGAUAGUAACACGUGGGAACGCGCCCUUCGGUUCGGAAUAACUCAGGGAAACUUGAGCUAAUACCGAAUACGCCCUUACGGGGAAAGAUUUAUUGCCGAAGGAACGGCCCGCGUCCGAUUAGCUAGUUGGUGAGGUAAUGGCUCACCAAGGCUACGAUCGGUAGCUGGUCUGAGAGGAUGACCAGCAUCACUGGGACUGAGACACGGCCCAGACUCCUACGGGAGGCAGCAGUGGGGAAUAUUGGACAAUGGGCGCAAGCCUGAUCCAGCCAUGCCGCGUGGAUGAUGAAGGCCUUAGGGUUGUAAAGUCCUUUUAACGGGGAAGAUAAUGACGGUACCCGUAGAAUAAGCCCCGGCUAACUUCGUGCCAGCAGCCGC
Molecule: ribosomal RNA, 448 nt
Filed under: uncultured bacterium
Lineage: Bacteria
Description: SSU rRNA
Rfam family: Bacterial small subunit ribosomal RNA
Source: RNAcentral